CCUACGGGAGGCUGCAGUGAGGAAUAUUGGUCAAUGGGCGGAAGCCUGAACCAGCCAAGUCGCGUGAGGGAAUAAGGCCCUACGGGUCGUAAACCUCUUUUGCCGGGGAGCAAGGGCGGGGACGUGUCCCGGCCCGGAGAGUACCCGGAGAAAAAGCAUCGGCUAACUCCGUCCCUGCAGCCGCGGUAAUACGGGGGAUGCGAGCGUUAUCCGGAUUUAUUGGGUUUAAAGGGUGCGUAGGCGGGCUUUUAAGUCAGCGCGAAAAAUUCGGGGUUAAAACCCGUCCGGCCGUUGAAACUGGUGGCCUUGAGUGGGCGAGAAGAAGGCGGAAUGCGUGGUGUAGCGGUGAAAUGCAGAGAUAUCACGCAGAACCCCGAUUGCGAAGGCAGCCUUCCGGCGCCCUACUGACGCUGAGGCACGAAAGUGCGGGGAUCGAACAGGAUUAGAUACCCCAGUAGUC
This 460-nucleotide ribosomal RNA is filed under the name uncultured bacterium. RNAcentral's name for it is "partial 16S ribosomal RNA". It matches the Rfam family "Bacterial small subunit ribosomal RNA", at positions 338 to 795 of the family's 1533-position model. The record is from RNAcentral.